GUAGAGUAGCUUAAAAAAAGCAUUAAACUUUUAAUUUAAGGAUGGUUGAUACCUUUUACGAG
Molecule: transfer RNA, 62 nt
Filed under: Conchoderma hunteri
Lineage: Eukaryota; Metazoa; Arthropoda; Thecostraca; Lepadidae
Description: tRNA-Lys
Source: RNAcentral